This 90-nucleotide non-coding RNA is filed under the name Olea europaea subsp. europaea. Lineage: Eukaryota; Viridiplantae; Streptophyta; Magnoliopsida; Lamiales; Oleaceae. The record is from RNAcentral.
GAAAGCCGUGUGCAAUGAAAAAUGCAAGCACGGCUUGGGGAGGGGUUUUUUCUUAUUUAGUUAACAUAACAAGAAAAUUAUCUACUCCAU